AGAGUUUGAUCCUGGCUCAGGACGAACGCUGGCGGCGUGCCUAACACAUGCAAGUCGAGCGAAGAACUUCGGUUCUUAGCGGCGGACGGGUGAGUAACACGUGGGUAACCUGCCUCAUAGAGGGGGAUAGCCUCCCGAAAGGGAGAUUAAUACCGCAUAACAUCAUGCUUUCGCAUGGAAGUGUGAUCAAAGGAGCAAUC
Molecule: ribosomal RNA, 200 nt
Filed under: uncultured bacterium
Lineage: Bacteria
Description: partial 16S ribosomal RNA
Rfam family: Bacterial small subunit ribosomal RNA
Source: RNAcentral